GAAAGAAAGGGAGAGAAACAUUAAUUGGUUACCUCUCACAUGUCCCCAACUGGGGACCUGGCCUGCAACCCAGGUUUUAAUUUCAUUCUUUCCCCUGGACGAAAUUCAAUGUACCCUGAGCAGUGGUUCUCAACCUUGGCUGCAGACUCAAGAAUUGUGUGGGGUUCUGGAUCUGCAGCCUGUCUGGUCACAGAGUGCUCCUAGACUCCUUAGGAAAUGCAGCACAGAAGACGCAGCAGCCUGGUGCACGCUCUGCUCUCCUAACUGAACUUUUGGCCCUGUCUUCAUCUGCUUUGUGACCCCAGUGAAGUGGCCGGGCCCUAAACUCCAUGACCUCCUCCAUCCUUCCCCUGGAACCG
Long non-coding RNA from Artibeus jamaicensis (Jamaican fruit-eating bat), 359 nucleotides. RefSeq lists it as uncharacterized. The transcript has 3 exons. NCBI's taxonomy places the organism in Eukaryota, Metazoa, Chordata, Mammalia, Chiroptera, Phyllostomidae. The record is from RefSeq and is a predicted model, not a curated record.